CCUACGGGAGGCAGCAGUGAGGAAUAUUGGUCAAUGGACGAGAGUCUGAACCAGCCAAGUAGCGUGAAGGAUGACUGCCCUAUGGGUUGUAAACUUCUUUUAUAUGGGAAUAAAACAGGGUAUGCAUACCAUCUUGUAUGUACCAUAGGAAUAAGGAUCGGCUAACUACGUGCCAGCAGACGCGGUAAUACGGCGGAUCCGAGCGUUAUCCGGAUUUAUUGGGUUUAAAGGGAGCGUAGGUGGAUUGUUAAGUCAGUUGUGAAAGUUUGCGGCUCAACCGUAAAAUUGCAGUUGAAACUGGCAGUCUUGAGUACAGUAGAGGUGGGCGGAAUUCGUGGUGUAGCGGUGAAAUGCUUAGAUAUCACGAAGAACUCCGAUUGCGAAGGCAGCGCACUGGACUGCAACUGACACUGCUGCUCGAAAGUGUGGGUAUCAAACAGGAUUAGAUACCCGAGUAGUC
RNAcentral lists this ribosomal RNA (460 nucleotides) under uncultured bacterium. RNAcentral's name for it is "partial 16S ribosomal RNA". It matches the Rfam family "Bacterial small subunit ribosomal RNA", at positions 338 to 795 of the family's 1533-position model. The record is from RNAcentral.